GACGAACGCCGGCGGCGUGCCUAACACAUGCAAGUCAACUUGACUGAAGGAGCAAUCUGACAGUAGAGUGGCGCAAGGGUGCGUAACGCGUAAGUAACUUGCCCAAGGUAAGGAAUAACGUCGAGAAAUCGGCGCUAAUACCUCAUAAUGCAGCGGAUCCGCAUGGAUAUGUUGUUAAAGGUUUACCGCCUUGGGAUAGGCUUGCGUCUGAUUAGUUAGUUGGUGUGGUAACGGCACACCAAGGCUACGAUCAGUAACUGGUCUGAGAGGAUGAUCAGUCACACUGGAACUGAGACACGGUCCAGACUCCUACGGGAGGCAGCAGUGAGGAAUAUUGGGCAAUGCUCGAAAGAGUGACCCAGCAACGCCGCGUGGAGGA
Molecule: ribosomal RNA, 379 nt
Filed under: uncultured bacterium
Lineage: Bacteria
Description: bacterial SSU rRNA
Rfam family: Bacterial small subunit ribosomal RNA
Source: RNAcentral